Molecule: ribosomal RNA, 253 nt
Filed under: uncultured bacterium
Lineage: Bacteria
Description: partial 16S ribosomal RNA
Rfam family: Bacterial small subunit ribosomal RNA
Source: RNAcentral
UACGAAGGGGGCUAGCGUUGUUCGGAAUUACUGGGCGUAAAGCGUAUGCAGGCGGACUUUUAAGUCGGGGGUGAAAUCCCGAGGCUCAACCUCGGAACUGCCUUCGAUACUGGAGAGCUCGAGUCCGGGAGAGGUGAGUGGAACUGCGAGUGUAGAGGUGAAAUUCGUAGAUAUUCGCAAGAACACCAGUGGCGAAGGCGGCUCACUGGCCCGGUACUGACGCUGAGGUGCGAAAGCGUGGGGAGCAAACAGG